AUGCUCGCUUCGGCAGCACAUAUACUAAAAUUGGAACGAUACAGAGAAGAUUAGCACGGCCCCUGCGCAAGGGAGAGUAACUAUUUCCUUAAGUGCUUUGAGGGAUA
Small nuclear RNA from Ochotona princeps (American pika), 107 nucleotides. The record is from Ensembl. Lineage: Eukaryota; Metazoa; Chordata; Mammalia; Lagomorpha; Ochotonidae.